Molecule: unclassified non-coding RNA, 339 nt
Filed under: soil metagenome
Description: partial contains 5.8S ribosomal RNA, internal transcribed spacer 2, and large subunit ribosomal RNA
Rfam family: 5.8S ribosomal RNA (bases 1-120)
Source: RNAcentral
GAUGAAGAACGUAGCGAAAUGCGAUACGUAGUGUGAAUUGCAGAAUUCAGUGAAUCAUCGAAUCUUUGAACGCACAUUGCACCUCUCGGUAUUCCGGGAGGUAUGCCUGUUCGAGCGUCAUUUGUACCCUCAAGCUCUGCUUGGUGUUGGGUGUUUGUUCCGCCUCUGUGUGUGAACUCGCCUCAAAACAAUUGGCAGCCGGCGUACUUGUUUCGGAGCGCAGCACAUUUUGCGAUCCAGAUCAACGUACAGCGGCAUCCAAGAAGCCUUAUUUAACGCUCUUGACCUCGGAUCAGGUAGGGAUACCUGCUGAACUUAAGCAUAUCAAUAAGCGCAGGA